Molecule: transfer RNA, 88 nt
Filed under: Streptococcus pneumoniae
Lineage: Bacteria; Bacillati; Bacillota; Bacilli; Lactobacillales; Streptococcaceae
Description: tRNA-Ser
Rfam family: tRNA
About the family: Transfer RNA (tRNA) molecules are approximately 80 nucleotides in length.
Source: RNAcentral
GGAAGAGUGGCAGAGUGGUUGAUUGCACCUGUCUUGAAAACAGCCGAGUCGAAAGGCUCCGUGGGUUCGAAUCCCACCUCUUCCGCCA